Molecule: RNA transcript, 3196 nt
Organism: Pseudopipra pipra
Lineage: Eukaryota; Metazoa; Chordata; Aves; Passeriformes; Pipridae
Gene: DAZL
Gene name: deleted in azoospermia like
Exons: 14
Source: RefSeq, a predicted model, not a curated record
CGGCAGCGCCGCCUUAUGGACUCAGGUGCUCGCUGCCGCGGUGCUGCUGCCCUACGCACGGCGCUUCGCCUGUCCCCGGCGGCGUACCCCGCCGCGCUUAGGGUCGGCGGGAACCCUUGUCGGGGGCUUCUGAACAGCUUCCAUUGUCCUCAGAGAGGAUCUGAGGAGUGCGAAACCUCCUUUCCCGCGCCACGUCGGCGCUGGGUAUCUGAGUCUGUAAAUGUGGAGACCCAAUGUGCAAGUGCCUCAGAGAGUAACACCUAUUCAUCAGCAGUCAGUCAAGGUUAUGUUUUACCGGAAGGAAAAAUCAUGCCAAACACAGUCUUCGUUGGUGGAAUUGAUUUAAGGAUGAAAGAGGCAGAAAUUCGGACUGUCUUUGAACAAUACGGUGCUGUGAAAGAGGUGAAAGUAAUCACUGACAGAACUGGUGUUUCGAAAGGAUAUGGAUUUGUAUCUUUCCUGGAGAAUGUGGAUGUUCAAAAAAUAGUAGAAACGCAAAUCAACUUCCAUGGCAAAAAGCUGAAACUGGGGCCAGCGAUUAGGAAGCAACAAAACCUGAAACAAGCUUCUUCCAUACAUCCCAGACCGUUUGUCCUUGGUCCUUCUCCACCACAGUUCCAUAGUGUAUGGGGUAGUCAGAAUACAGAGACGUAUUUUCAGCCUCCACCUAUAAUGAGCCCAGUAACACCGUAUGUUCAGCCAUAUCCAUACAGUUCAUCACCAACUGUACUGCUAAAGCAGCAAGUUCCCAUAGGAUAUCAACCGGCUUAUAACUAUCAGGGUCAACCACAGUGGGUUGCUGGGGAGCAAAGAAGUUAUGUUAUGCCUCCUGGUCUGGUUUAUGCAUCGGUAAACCAUCACGCUGAGGAUCCGGGAUUUCUACAGACGGAAUGUGCUGUUCCUGAGCCCAUGCACUUGCCUGCUAACAGCCCACAAAAGAAGUCUGUGGACAGGGGCAUGCAAACAGUAGUGUCCUGUCUGUCUAAUCCUGAGAACCAGCUGAGGAAUGACUCUCUGUCACAAGACGACAACAUAAAGGAGAGCAAAGUCUAUCACUUCCGAAAAGGAAGGACAGGAUUCAAAAGUGUUUGAUGAAUGAAGACUUCGGAGUAUCUAAAUUAAGUCGAUGUUACUACAGUUCAGCAAUACAUUCAGCAUAAUAUUUCUCAUAGUUGCUUCAAGUUAAGUUUGUGUUCAUGUUCAUGUUCGACCUGUUUUGAUACAGUUCCUGCUUGGGUAAUUUGAAGUUUAAAGUUGUAAGAGUUGACAAACUUCAGUUACAUUGUUUGCAUGCUUCCCCAGUUUGUUUGCUGCAUGUGGAUUUUCUUCUGAGUUUUAACGUACACUUUGCAUAUUACACAGGUUUGCUUUAACCACAAUUUGACUCACCCUGACCAGUUAAUUUUUGCAGUUUAAAAAUGGAAAUAGUUAUUUACCCAAGAGAUUGUAUUUUAAAACUGAGUUCUUAAAUCAGGGCAAAAGAAGAUGUAACUGAGCUGAAGCCCUUCUUAAGUCCUAGUUGCCUUUAGACAACAUAAUCAAUGUGAUUAUGUUCAUUACUGACACUUCAUGUACCUGCAGUCUUGAGCAUCACUAUUGGUUUUGGUUGAUUUGGUUGCCCUGGGCUGUAUUUAAAGCUUUAUGCUGGAGCUAUAAGAAAACAGAGAAAUGUGUAUGUGUAGCUCUCAUUGAAGAAUCUCAACACCAAAAGAAGACAUAAACUUCAAGAUACCUACACAGAGUGCACAUUUUCUUUUUAUUUGACCAAGUUUUACUCCCAGGACCAUCUGGUAUUUGUGUGCUAAACCAAGAUGAAUCGUGUCUUAACAUGAAGGUGAUCUGAUCCUCGAUUGCUACAAGGAAAAUGGUUUUUCCUAAAAGUCCUCUAACAGGUUCCCUUUAGUGUUGGAAGGCCACAGUAAGGUCUCCCUGGAGUCUUGUCUUCUCCAGGCUGAACAAUCGCAGUGCUCUCAGGUUGUCUUCAUGGGAGAGGUGCUCCAGCCCUCAUGGCCCUCCUUUGGACCUGACCCAGCAGGUCUAUGUCUUUCCUGUGGUUGGUAUUCCAGGUGAAUGCAGUACUCCAGUUGGGGUCUCACCAGAGAGGCAGAAUUGCUUCCCUUGGGAGGAAAGGGGGCAAACAACCCAGUGUUUUGGCCUGUAGCACAACUGCAGCCAUCCAGUUCUUGCCAUGUCAGCUGACUUUAAACUGGAUGUAGGCAGCAGUUAAAUUAUUAAAAUGGGAUUAAUGGCUUCUGUAUGUCAUAAUAAGAUAAAUGAUGCCUUUUUUAACAUAUGCCAAGGGGAGCCUCAGUACACAUGGUGGAGUAAUCAUUUAGAAAUGUGUUAUGAGCACACACUUCAGUCUUUUUCUUUCAGGGGAACAGUGAGGUAGGUAAUAGAAAUAUGCAUUGGUCAGAGGACAUUACCUAAAUUUGAAUCAUUUUGGUUGGAAAAGACCUUUAAGAUCAUUGAGUUCAACCAGCAUUAACCUAACACUGCCACAUCUACCAUAAACAAUCCCUUAAGUGCCAUAUCUACAUAUCUUCUAAAUAGCUCCAGGGAGAGUGACUCCAUCACUUUUCUGGGCCUCCUGUUCCAAUGCUUGAAAACUCUUGUGUGUGAAGAAAUUUUUGCGAAUAUCAAAACUAAAUCUCCCCUGGCACAACCUGAGGCCAUUUCUUGUCCUGUUGCUUGUUACUUUGGAGAAGAGACUGACCCCCAGCCUCGUUUCAGGUGGUUGUAGAGAGCAAUAAGAUCUUCCUGAGCCUCCUUUUCUCCAGGCUAAAGAACUCCAGCUCUCUCAGCUGCUCCUCAUCAGACUUGUGCUCGAGACCCUCACCUGCUUCCUUGCCCUUCUCUAGACAUGCUGUGGUGACUCAUUGUUUUUCUUGUCGUGAGGAAUCCAAAACAACACAGUAUCAAUAUGUGGCCUCACCAGAGCCCAGUACGGGGACACAGUUGCUUCCCUUAUCUUUGUGAUAGAAACCAGGAUGCUCUUCCCACCUGGGAACACUGCUGGCUCAUGUUCAGCCCUGCCUCAGCUGCAGCCUAGCAGCCAGCUAAGAACUGAUGCGGAGCAGGGGAAUCCAACUGUUAAAGCAUCACAAAGGCCUGGGGCAGGUGCUGAUGCAAUGUGAUUUCUGCCCAGUGCUCUAAGUGUCAAGGCAAAGAAAUUCAAUAAAGCACAGGAAAAGGG